This is a non-coding RNA of Punica granatum (pomegranate), 3605 nucleotides long. The record is from RefSeq and is a predicted model, not a curated record. NCBI's taxonomy places the organism in Eukaryota, Viridiplantae, Streptophyta, Magnoliopsida, Myrtales, Lythraceae.
CAACCAACACAAUAUCCAAGUGAUGAUUAGUCUUGGUCAAUAGAGGUAAUUCAUGAUCCAACAAUAUAAUAAAGAAAAGAUUCUGAGAAGGAUACGGAUAAAAAAUAAUGAUAAGUCCGUGAAAGUUUUUGAAAUUAGAAAAUAUCGGCACUCGUAAAAUAAAAUUGUGCACAUGGAGCCAUUUUCAUUAAUUUGAAUUUUCGAUAUUAUCUAAAUAAAAUACCAUGAUCGUUAUAUAACAGGCCAAAAGCGGCCUUGCUAAUUUCAAGUGGACAAAUUAUACAAGUACAGUGCAGGGUUCAAAAUUCAUUAAAAUCAUGCAGGAUUGGAUACAAGGAGAGAAUAUAGCUGGGAGAUGUCAUCCUCUUAUUGGUCCCGGCAAUGAAUAGCUGCCGGUGCCGGUGAGCGAAGAUCUGACAACCUUUGGCAGUCCAGUCCACCAUGCCUGUAGCGUCGACGAUGAAUUUCAAUUGAUGAUGGAGUGGAGGAGACGGCAACGUGAUAAUCAAAACCAUUCAGCGCUUUUGGUCUGAGACUUUGUGAGGGAGCAGAACAAGUCUUUAGCGCAUCGCCCACCAACUGUUCGAGGAAAUGUUUCUUCAUCAAGACCUGCUUGCAGCCCAUCAUCAUCUCCAUCUCUUGUGACGGUCCGCUGAUUCGGCCUGGCCUCAUUUGCCAACUCUAAUCUGUCUUCUGCUACUCGUUACCAUUGCCUACUGCUGCUCCUCCUCCUCCUCCUCCUCCCCCGUCUUCUGCUCAGCACUGCAACUUCUUCUAGCAUUGGCAACCUAACUUAUUAUUCCCCGGUCACAUGGAUGUUCCCCUGCCGAUGGAUAAACUGUCCUUGACAUUCACUGCCAAUCCGUGAGUUCCGACGACAACCUUGUAAUGUCAUGUUUGUUCAGUUUUCUCCUGCCUCUCUUAUGCUCCGACACCCUUGACGAUCAGCAUUGUUUGGCUUUCCCUCUAAUGAACGUGAUGGUCCUACGAAUUUUGUCCCUGCUGAAGAUAUGCUUUCAACCAGAGAAAGCAGUUACAGAAUAGUGCAUAGUCCAGGUUCCUCAAUGCCCGUGGGACAUUGUUGCAAAUGAGAUCACCCCACUUAGUUUUUGAAAUUACACGUUCAAACUACCAAAUAUCUUCUGAUCAUGUGUGUGGAACAAGGAACGGACAUAUGUGGUUCUUGUAGCCACUUGAAGUUUCAACCCUCCCACUUACAUGCAUCUACGCCUGUUUGGUAAAAGUUCUGCACCCCUACAUAUUGUUGUGUUUUCCUUUCACACUCGGAGAAAAGAGACAACAUCGAGCCAUGCGCUUGAGGUCUCCCCAACCUUGAUGAUAUUUACUUUUAUCCCUAGAGCUAGCAAGGGGCGCACUGAAUGUAGCGAUAUUGUGUCAUUGGGGGCUAUAUGUCCCCUUUAAAUGAUGCAUACAAGAAAAUGUAAGUAUUUUUUUCUCUUAACAGUUAAACAGAAAGGAUAUGUAGCAUAAACAUGUCGAUAGAUGCACUAGUAAUCCAAAUGCUUAAACCUAUUGCAUGCAAUUAAUAAAAUGGCAUUGCUAUUAAUAGCCGGAAUAACUGGCUAACUCUGUAAGUUGAUAUUUUGCUCAUGAAGUAACACUUCAAAAUACUGGUAGGAUGCUCGCGAAAACUAUCGAUGUUGAAGAAAUUGGUUAGAAAGCAUAAGUUGCUUUAAGAAUUAUACCCUCUAUAUGUAGUGGUCCGUUUCUUGUGCUUGGCACUUGAAUAAUGUGUCAUAGAAAAGUUAUUUGCAUUCUUACCAUAAAUCAGUUCUUCUCAAUUGUGGAAUGAAUAUGGCUUGUAGGGCUUCAUAUCCGCUGAACAUCAUGUACAGUUAUGUCAAUUGGCCUCAAGAAGUUCUGAUUUUGUAAUGGUUGAUUCAUGGGAGGCAAGUCAGAGUACCUAUCAGCAAACGUUAGCUGUUUUGUGUAGAAUCAAGAAUUGCUUGUGCAAGGAAAGGCUGCUAUCAGAGGGUGAACAUCGAAGUUGUGGAUGAACUCGUGUCUAAUCAGAUCAGUUCAACAAGGGUCAGGGACUGCAUUUCAAGAGGAUUAUCAAUAAAAUAUCUUACUGCAGAUGAAGUGAUCGAUUACAUUAGAGACAACCAUUUAUACCUGAAGUCAAAUGAGGACAAGUGAGGAGAGGAAGCUUCUCCAUCCCAGCAAGUACGCCACAUAAAUGUUGAUCUUCAUCAACAAUCGAGCCCCUUGUGUAUCUAAAUUGAAUAAAUUAACGCAUCGCGAUCCCAUUCCAUGAAACAAUAGAAUUAGACAUUUUGUUUGUUGUAUCAACUGACCCUGUUAGUCCAAUAUUAUAUAUAUAUCGACGGGUUGAUGCUCUCAUUCUCUAUUGCAAUUCUGCCAAAAUCAGCUUCUAUGAAUGAUAAUAUGAUAUUGCUAUUGUCGGUCUUUUGUUCCUAAAUAUGCUGAAGAUUCUCGGCAUUGGUGAUGAGUCAAAGCUAAGGAUGCAAUCUCUGGUGGAAUUUCCUCGACUGUGGGUGAGCUCAAAGUUCAGAGUUUCAGGGACAGCUCAUAUGGUGUCAGUGCUUGGCUUUAUGGCUUUUUGUCUGAGUGAGACUUCGCUGACGCAGCACUCCCUCCUUUUACCCUGUUUGAAACAACAAAGAUGUUGUGCCAUGCGGCACCAUUUCCGGGUCUCACAGUCCCAAAAGGAGGAUGAGAACUCUGACCCGUUUCAAUGGCCUUCUUAAAUCAUCUGCUCUACCCAGCCUGGGACUGUUUGAGCCCGGUACUGAGCCCCCUUAAACCCUCCAUCUCCUCCUUAUCCUUCCUCCUCCUUCUUCUUCUUCUUCUUCUUCUUCUUCUGUGGGUCUCGAUCUGUUUUGCAAUGAGCUCACUUCAGAUGCUUCUGUCAAGAUUCGCAAUCCUUCUCGUAAUCUGCUUCCUGGUUCCUCAUCAUGUAGUGGUGUCCUGGACAGGUGCCGAGCCCGAUUCCCCUGCGACCUGCAACAACUGCACUAUCUGUCCCUAUAUGUGCCACUCGACCCCUUCUCCUCCACCCCCAGCAGGAACAGGGUACCCUGAGUAUGGAACGCCGCCGCCGCCAUCACCGCCUCAAAGGACACCAGGGCAGGGCACCUGCCCGCCCGGACAGGUUGUUUCUUGCUGCCCCUCGUCCCCGACCCCUCCAUACCCUUACGGACCUUACGGUUAUGGCCCUCCGACCCCGCCUAUGGGAUACAUGCCGUUUGAAAAUCGCUCUGCUUUAGGACCCUACCCUUUACAUUUCGGUCUCCUGAUUCUGCUUCUGUUGCUGGUCAUUCUAUUCGUCGGUAUUUAACGAGGAAGCGUCAUCUUUCUCCUAUCAGAUCUUGUCCUAGUGUGCGAGCAGCUUCUCGUGCUAAGUAAUAAGCGCAAAAAGAAAAAAAAAAAAAAAAGUAUAUAUAUAUCUCCCUCUGUUUCAUUGCUUCACCGUGUGUAUGAACAAUGUGUAGUAGGAACAUCAUGUGCAUAUAUAUGAAGUAUUGUUCGAAAUAGCCUCAUAUUAGGCGUUUGAAUUGAGUCUCGGGUAAACAUGUUGAUCUUGUUCCGUUGUUAUGCAAAUGAUUGUAUUUGUCGAUUCA